UACGUAGGCAGCGAGCGUUGUUCGGAGUUACUGGGCGUAAAGGGUGCGUAGGCGGCCUAUUAAGUUUGUCGUGAAAUCUCCCGGCUCAACUGGGAGGGUGCGGCGAAUACUGAUGGGCUUGGAGUGUGGGAGAGGAGAGUGGAAUUCCUGGUGUAGCGGUGAAAUGCGCAGAUAUCAGGAAGAACACCCGUGGCGAAGGCGGCUCUCUGGGACGGUACUGACGCUGAGACGCGAAAGCGUGGGGAGCGAACAGG
RNAcentral lists this ribosomal RNA (254 nucleotides) under uncultured bacterium. RNAcentral describes it as "partial 16S ribosomal RNA". It matches the Rfam family "Bacterial small subunit ribosomal RNA", at positions 524 to 776 of the family's 1533-position model. The record is from RNAcentral.